GGUUGCAACUUGAAGGAACUUCAAGGAAGCUUUGUUCUAAUCCUAUCAUCAUCUUUUCUCACCAUCAUCUUCACUUAGAUUCAUCCCUAGUUUUAAGCUAGUAGUAGUCGUGUUUGCUGAAGAGAUUUGGGUUACGAGUACCGAAGACGCAAUACAACAUUUAUUUACAUGGUAUGGGAAUUAGUAAAUGGAUCUGGCGGCGUUGGAGUUUUUAAGCUGCGUUGUGAAUAAAGAUGUCAUCCAAGUCAUUAGGGUUUAGGAGGCGUAUCUUAAUCCUGGACGGGAUACGUGGUCCUAAACUAGGGUUGUUUUAAAAUCUUUUGUUGAGUCAUUUUGAACUCCUUAAAACAUGUUAUGGUUUGUAACUUGAAAUUGGUCUCGUCAUUUCAGACAAUUAUGUUGUACUACUUUUAAACUUAAAUUAAUGGAUGUACAUCUACUGGUU
RNAcentral lists this long non-coding RNA (445 nucleotides) under Helianthus annuus (common sunflower). Its description in RNAcentral is "hypothetical non coding rna". Lineage: Eukaryota; Viridiplantae; Streptophyta; Magnoliopsida; Asterales; Asteraceae. The record is from RNAcentral.